UACGAAGGGGGCUAGCGUUGCUCGGAAUCACUGGGCGUAAAGCGCACGUAGGCGGACUCUUAAGUCAGGGGUGAAAUCCUGGAGCUCAACUCCAGGACUGCCUUUGAUACUGGGAGUCUUGAGUCCGGAAGAGGUAAGUGGAACUGCGAGUGUAGAGGUGAAAUUCGUAGAUAUUCGCAAGAACACCAGUGGCGAAGGCGGCUUACUGGUCCGGUACUGACGCUGAGGUGCGAAAGCGUGGGGAGCAAACAGG
This 253-nucleotide ribosomal RNA is filed under the name uncultured bacterium. Its description in RNAcentral is "partial 16S ribosomal RNA". It matches the Rfam family "Bacterial small subunit ribosomal RNA", at positions 524 to 776 of the family's 1533-position model. The record is from RNAcentral.